ACUUGGCAGCUGGGGCUCGUCGCCAUCACCGUUGUCGUUGUCGUUGGUGGAUUUCAGUUUGUUUCUGGUUAACCUUGAAUACUAAUUGUUGUUUCACGUCGAUUUGAAUGGCACUCGGUUGGUUGCCGUGCGCAGCGUACGCGGACGCGUACGCGUUCGUUGUUUUGUAUCAGCAUAAAAAUUUCAUGCUGCCCCGCCGUCGACGUCGUCAUCGUCGUCGUCAGCUCCACGCGGAGCUGAGCGCCGGUUCGAAAUAGUACGAAAAAACUAAUCACAUACGCCGGGCCGGCUCUCUAGCCGGCUGCCUGGCGGCGGGCAGCACAAAUUGGCGUAAGCAAAACACUAUUUGUUUUGCCGAAAAUGAGAAUUGUAUUGGCCGCCGGUGGCUGUCUGGCGAGAGCAGUGGCUGCCAGGCGACGGGUUUGACUAUUUAGAAACCGUUGCUGUUCUAUUUUGGCCAGGCCAACAGAAGAGGGCCAGCAACGCCACUGCCACUGCUGCCACUAACUUGGCAGUAAUUUUAUAUCAAGGAAACCUUGAGGUUGUUGUCUGAUCGAACUGGAAAACCUUGGAAAACCAGAAGCGCGCUUCACAAUGGAUACAAUAAAAACUGAAGGCAAUUAACAUACUAAGACCCGCUAAGUGCAUCUCCCACACCGGACACCUAGUACACACCAUUCCAGCUCCAUCAUUUAAAUUCGAUGCAUUCGUAUGAACCGACACAGCCCGACGAUUCCAUUGUUUAAGUUUUCAACACCAAACCAGAAGUAACAACGAAAUAAGCGGAACAAAACAAAGGCAACAGCAACAGCAACAGCAACGGAAAAAAACGAGGUCACAAGAAAUGGAGUGCGGAGUGGAGUGGAGUGCAUCAGCUGGGUGUUAUGCUGGCCUGGUAGCCGCUGCCUGUAUAUUAUCGAUCAUGUUUUGAAAGCGAGAGUGAAGUCGGCGGCCGACGAACGGAUGGACGGACGGACACACAGUUACUCGGAUUGUCGUCGUGAGCACAACAGGAGAGAAGUAGAAGCAGAGUGGCGUGGAGUGGAGGGUGCGUCCUACACACUUGUGGAUACAGAUACAAUUUAUUUCAUACGCACGGCUGUCGACCCCCUCUCGCUCUGAGUUGGCAUUUAUCUGGCUGCGGUCGCUGCGCGCCUGUUCCCCGAACAAAGCCAGCUAUCGAUUUCUACAUAAAAAACGAAAGUGAACUCGGUUCGGCCCUGGAGCUCGGAUUGUUCGCCCUCGCAGAUAGCGCUUCACUUGACCCAGUUUUGGGCCUGAUUCGAUUUUACUUUUAGCCGAGGGCGGAACCGAGGGCAUUCGCCUCGCAUUGACCCCGCUCAAGGUUCAACGCUCCGCGGGGACAGCCCUCGGGUGCCAAGGUAAAUGGUCGCCAACAGUGUCACGUUCAGGGACCGCCCAUGACCCACCUUUGCCGUCGAUCGGUGCUCAAAGCACCGAUCCACGAUAGAAAGAAAAAUCAGACCCCUUUUGCGGGUACCAGGCGAACAGCGGCAGCCACCAGCGGAUUGCGCUGCCUGCGCUCGCUUUUUCGGCGGUUCGUUGAACUUCUGGGGCUCUAAAUUUUGAAGAUCGUUGACCGAAAGAGAGAGCCAGCCACUGUGUUGGUGAGAGAGAUAGAAGGAAAGAAAGAGUGAGACAGCGGGAGAACUGAGAGAGGAGAACGGGCAGCAAGAGCGCUGACGUCAGCGGUGGUAGCUACGUUUCGGAAUCGGAUUCGGUUUCUGUUUCGGUUCGUAAAACCGAAGUGUGUGAGGGAGAGAGAAGAAAGCUGGCUGUCUCAAUUUGUAAUGCCCGUCAGACCCCUGUGAUGAUUUUGAUGACAUCAGCCUGCUGAACGACGGCUAAAUGUUUACAAUUAAUGUACGAAUAUGUGAACCAACCACCGACUAGUAUAUGUAUGACUUAUUUGGUACAGCACUUAAGUACGUACUAGUACACAAAUUGUACAUACACAGAUACAGAAAAUAAAAUAUGGGACUUAUCUCUUGCUA
Drosophila pseudoobscura is the source of this 2015-nucleotide long non-coding RNA. RefSeq lists it as uncharacterized. The transcript has 2 exons. The record is from RefSeq and is a predicted model, not a curated record. Lineage: Eukaryota; Metazoa; Arthropoda; Insecta; Diptera; Drosophilidae.